Molecule: long non-coding RNA, 1141 nt
Organism: Oryza sativa Japonica Group (Japanese rice)
Lineage: Eukaryota; Viridiplantae; Streptophyta; Magnoliopsida; Poales; Poaceae
Source: RefSeq, a predicted model, not a curated record
AUGAUAUUUAUUAAUAUGGUGUCCAUGUGAUAUUUACUCUACAAUUAUAAAAACAAGUGAGGGUCCACGUAUCAUCCUUCUCCUAUCUCUUUUUACUUCUCUCCCCAAUCUCUCUCCUCAAUUCAACGGCAUCAACAGGGUGGGCACCGCCGUGCAGCAUCAACAGGGUGGGACGAAAUGGGCCGGCGAUGAGCCGCGGCUAGCUGGGCCGGCCCACCGCGAUGAGGCUAUAUGCACAGGAGGAGGAGGAAGUGAGCCCCGCACCACCACCGCCGCCGCCAUGGCGCUCCGCCGCAUCAACCUCUGGAAGAAUCCGCUCCUCCUCCCCCGGCCAUUCUCCUCGUCCUCCUCACCCAUCCCGACCGCUCCGCCGGCGUCCUCCAUCGACGACAUCCGUCGCCAGAUCGAGUCCCUCGCCGCGAGGGGCGCCCCUCCUGGCUCCUCCGCCGCCUCCCGCUCCCCACCGGAACCCGGCGAGGGGGAGGGGCGCAACCCGGAGACCUCGCUCUUCCAGGAGAUGCACGAUCAGAUCCCGAUCGCUCCGUCGUUCCAUCACCAUCAGUAUUCGGUCGCCUGCUCUUCGCGGGGACAACGCGAGAAAGGAGGAGGAGGGGAGAGAGGAGAAUUCCGAUGACACGAUCGGUACAGUACCAGGCACUCCGGAGGAGCAUCCGGGAAAUCCGACUCGAUCAGAAAACUAAGGAUGAUAUUUACCACUACAAGACAAGAACCAGCUGGACCAGGUACCAACGCCGCAGGCCUUGAUUAGAGGCUUGCCCUAUCAUCAUCCUUAAUGACUUCAUCGCUGGACAGGAAGUUGGCAAUUUCCCUUAUGUUCUGGACAAUGGUGCUGGUGAGUGGUGACUCCAAAAGUUAGAGGGAACUGCUAAACUUGUUGCCCGCUGGUUUGGUCCAGAGUCUUGAAUUUGUAUUUUUUUUUUAUUUUCUCCAAACAAUAAUACUACUUAGGUCCUGAUGGUUUCAACUUAAGAUUAUUCAUUAUCGUAAUCUAGAUUAUUAAAGAUUACUGUAAACUGGAUUAUAAUAAGCUAUAGCCCUUUUUUCAGCUUAAGAUUAUUGUAAUUUAGAUUAUUAAACUAUAUUACUAUAAACGGGAUUAUAAUAAGUCGACAUAAAAUAA